Molecule: ribosomal RNA, 957 nt
Filed under: uncultured Verrucomicrobiota bacterium
Lineage: Bacteria; Pseudomonadati; Verrucomicrobiota
Description: bacterial SSU rRNA
Rfam family: Bacterial small subunit ribosomal RNA
Source: RNAcentral
UACAGAGGUCCCAAGCGUUGUUCGGAUUCACUGGGCGUAAAGGGUGCGUAGGUGGUCGGGUAAGUCUGAUGUGAAAUCUCGGAGCUUAACUCCGAAACGGCAUUGGAUACUAUUCGGCUGGAGGGUUGGAGGGGGGACUGGAAUUCUCGGUGUAGCAGUGAAAUGCGUAGAUAUCGAGAGGAACACCAGUGGCGAAGGCGAGUCCCUGGACAACUCCUGACACUAAGGCACGAAAGCUAGGGGAGCAAACAGGAUUAGAUACCCUGGUAGUCCUAGCCGUAAACGGUGCACGUUUGCUGUAAAAGGAAUCGACCCCUUUUGUGGCGUAGCCAACGCGUUAAACGUGCCGCCUGGGAAGUACGGUCGCAAGAUUAAAACUCAAAGAAAUUGACGGGGGCCUGCACAAGCGGUGGAGUAUGUGGCUCAAUUCGAUGCAACGCGAAGAACCUUACCUGGCCUUGACAUGUAGGUGGUAGAAGGAUGAAAGUCCGACGAUCCCGCAAGGGAAGCCUACACAGGUGCUGCAUGGCUGUCGUCAGCUCGUGUCGUGAGAUGUUGGGUUAAGUCCCGCAACGAGCGCAACCCCUGUGUCCUGUUGCCACCCGGCCGAGAGGCUGGAGCACUCUGGACAGACUGCCUCGCUUCAACGAGGAGGAAGGUGGGGAUGACGUCAAGUCAGUAUGGCCCUUACGGCCAGGGCUGCACACGUACUACAAUGCCCGGCACAAAGGGAAGCAAGAUCGUAAGAUGGAGCAAAUCCCCAAAAACCGGGCCCAGUUCAGAUUGUCGUCUGCAACUCGACGGCAUGAAGCUGGAAUCGCUAGUAAUGGCGCAUCAGCUACGGCGCCGUGAAUACGUUCCCAGGCCUUGUACACACCGCCCGUCACAUCAUGAAAGCCGUUUGUACCCGAAGUCACCCCUCAAAAGGUGCCGAAGGUAUGGAUGGUGAUUGGGAUG